This 86-nucleotide transfer RNA is filed under the name Methanomicrobiales archaeon. RNAcentral describes it as "tRNA-Ser". It matches the Rfam family "tRNA". From Rfam's summary of the family: Transfer RNA (tRNA) molecules are approximately 80 nucleotides in length. Their secondary structure includes four short double-helical elements and three loops (D, anti-codon, and T loops). RNAcentral also lists the same sequence under 1 other name. Lineage: Archaea; Methanobacteriati; Methanobacteriota; Methanomicrobia; Methanomicrobiales. The record is from RNAcentral.
GCUGAGGUUGUCUAGUCUGGUAGGGCGCGGGCCUGGAAAGCCCGUGGGGCAUUAGCCCCUCGGGAGUUCAAAUCUCCCCCUCAGCG